GUCCGCACACUCAGGAAAUGCAUCACCGGGGGCUUCACUCCGGUUCCCAGGCGCGCACUGGACACUCCCAUGGUUUCGGAGGUGGCAGCCCUGGCUGGCGACCGCCCAGGGACCGGCGGUAAGCAUUGAGCCGCCCGGGGGAGGCACCUGCGGCCCAGGAUGCUCAUCAGCCAGGGGGCCGGCCCACGGGCUCUCAUGGCGAGUGUCUCGUCCACGCCCCAGCCGUGGCCCCGGCAGGGAUGGCGGAAGUGGCCAGUGCUAUGGACCAACCACCCUGAAACCUUGGGCCUUCAAACAACCCUGGUCUUGUGCCCUCUGUUUUACAUCGCACACUGUGGCAGGAAAUUCUCUCCAGGUCUGCAGCCCGGUAGUUCAAGGUCAAGGUACUUGCAGAGCUGGGUCCUGUGAGGGCUGAGGAUGUGCCGCCCCUGCCUGUCUCUCAACUGCCGGUGGCUUCUGGCAAUCCGUGGUGUUCUGUGGCUGGCAGGUGCAUCGCCUGAUGGACACCAGCGACUUCCCAGCACCCCCCUCCCCGCCGUGUCUCUGGGUCCAGUUCUCUGCGUCUCCUGAGGACACAGGUCACAUUGCAGGAGCGCCCACCCUCACGUCCCCACGCGAACCUGACCACCUCUUCAAGGGCAGCCGGGAUGGCAGGGCAGGCGCUCUCUCGAGCUGCGCACAGAGGAGGAAGACACAGGUGCCAGCCCCCGCACGGAGCACUGGACACUCCUUCAAAGCGGGCCGGCCCCCUUGGGACGCCCUCAGAAGCACAAAGCCUCCAAGUCAAAGGCUUCCUGUUGUAAAUGCACGUCCACACCUCGGGACGUGGGCCUGGGCGAGGGGGAGACCGCGUGCAGGGACCGUCGGUGGGAAACGCUCCGAAGGUUCCCAGUGUGGGGCGGGGGCGCGCGGGUCUCGGAGGCGGGUGGAGGCCACUCCAGUGCGCCCAGAGUCUGGCGUCCAGGCUGCUGCUCUUCUAGAAUCUCCACUGCCUGAUGGCCAGUUGAAUUCAGUGAUUUGCCCUCCAAAAUGCAGAAGGGAGUUCACAGCCAGGCCCCCUCGUCCUAAACAGGAGAGGCCGUGACCUGCGAUGCUGAGGCCCAGACAAGACAGCGAGCGCGGGACUCUCCUGGAAGGUUCCGGAACGUGGGGUUCGACUCCAGGCACCAUAGAAUAGUCCUGAUUACAGGAAGAACUCAUGUUGAUUUGAGAAAAUUCAGAAAACUAACAGCCCAAAGAGGAAAACUGAAGACGUCUCGGACCCUGAUCCCGGGGAUGGGCAUCCAGGCUUUGCUAGGUACCGUGGACCUAGGCCUGGGCCCGUGACGACGUGGGAACUGGAUGAAGGUGGAUCAAGAUGGCAAUGUGAGGAGGUUACAGACUGAUGUCCAUGAGUGACAUGGGCUGGUCAUGGAAUGUUCUAGAUGAGUGACAUGGGCUAGUUAUAGAAUAUUCUAGAUGAUGAUGUGGACUGGUUAUAGAAUGUCCUAGAUGAUGAUGUGGACUGGUUAUAGAAUGUUCUAGAUGAUGUGGGCUGGUUAUAGAAUGUUCUAGAUGAUGAUGAUGUGGGCUGGUUAUAGAAUGUUCUAGAUGAUGUGAGUUGGUUAUAGAAUGUUCUAAAUGAUGUGGGCUGGUUAUAGAAUGUUCUAGAUGAUGAUGUGGGCUGGUUAUAGAAUGUCCUAGAUGAUGAUGUGGACUGGUUAUAGAAUGUUCUAAAUGAUGUGGGCUGGUUAUAGAAUGUGCUAGAUGAUGAUGAUGUGGGCUGGUUAUAGAAUGUUCUAGAUGAUGUGAGUUGGUUAUAGAAUGUUCUAGAUGAUGUGGGCUGGUUAUAGAAUGUUCUAGAUGACCACGAGGGUGUGGUUAGACUGAUCCAGAUGAUGACGUGGUCACAGCAGGACUAGUGAUGCCCACACUCUGGCUUCGCUGGCAGCCAAGCUGCUGAGCCCCUGUUGGGGCAGCCCCAAGGGGUGGGGAUGGGACACCCGGGGAGCAGCCCGCACCCCAUUCGUGAGCUGCCAGUGCGUUCAUACGGUAGUGACACCAUCGGUACCCCCAGGUCUCUGGAGGCUGGACAGAUCUCCAUUGUAGUCAGUGGCCUGGGAGCUCUCUGCCCGCCACGCCCCCUCCCCCAGGCCCCAUGCCCACCAGGGUGCCACGCCUGCCACGGCAGGGAGUCAGCCCCCCACCCAGUGAUAACACGAGAUGCACGUUCCAGAAGCUCUGAAUUCCCUGCGGGAUGCAGCCACAGCGGCCACAGACACAGCCGGCCUGACACAAACCCAUCCCCCGUCCUGCCCCCCCCACCUCAGGAUCAAUAGAGAGGCAAGGGUGUGGGGCAUUCCCUGGGGGGCCCCUGACACAGAUGGGACACGUGCAGAGCCGAGAGUCCAGGUGUGCAGAGGGCAGAGAGCCAGAGGGAGGCUGGGGGGUGGGCGGUCAGGUCCCCCGGCUGUGUUCAUGUUCGUCCCGGAACCCUGUCCACAGAUGGGUGCUUGGGGACGGCAGAAACAGCGUCUCUGCCUCAUGGUGGCCAAACGGCUGCCUUAGGGCCACACAGGACUACUGUGUCCCGGAAGGCAAGAGGCAGCAUCAGUAACCCGCCCCCGCCCCCCGCCUCUGGAAUAAAUAAGUAAAUGCAUAUUUAACA
RNAcentral lists this long non-coding RNA (2647 nucleotides) under Oryctolagus cuniculus (rabbit). RNAcentral's name for it is "lncRNA (ENSOCUG00000038556.1)". The record is from RNAcentral. Lineage: Eukaryota; Metazoa; Chordata; Mammalia; Lagomorpha; Leporidae.